GUCGGGAGGCCUCUGCGGGGCAGCGGUCGGGAGCGAGGCCACGGGGCGCCAGGUACAGCCGGCGGGACGUCCAGUGCCAGCGCAGGAGCCGGGCGAGGCCGUGGCCUCCAGGGUUCCUGGGCGGAGGACAAGGCGCGCAGCCGCGUUGGCGCGAGUUUUAAAUCGGUGCCUUCUCAGCUUUGCAAGUUCUUAUCAAUUGCUGCAUGCCAGAGGAAGUUUUUAAAAAAUGGCCCCCAGCUCUAUUGCGGUGUAAUUGAUGGAUAGAAAUUGUAUUUAUUUAAGGUGAACAGCUGGAUGAUGUGAUGGAGGCACGCAGGGUGGAGGGGUUACCACAGUCUAGGUACUCUACACAUCCAGAGCCUCCCACAGUUGACAAAUGGAUUUUCCUAAUCAGUUUCGUCGUGUUUUGUACUUAAGUUGAGGAUUCCACACCGUGUGGUACUUUCAGAAGAGAUGUAGUGGUGAAUCAAUCGCAACGGUAAGGGGAGCAGACCUGGACAUCUGAUACUUGAUCAGCAAUUCACCUUGCCUGAAAAUGUUUUGACUUUGUUUCAUGUUCCAAGUGCCGAAAUGAUCGCACGCCUCGUUAGAAGUUGAACGUUACUCUUUUCUUCAAAUGCAGGUUGUGAUGUUUUCCUAAUUAGGUAUUGAGAAUUACCAUUGGUAUUUGGAAUUAGAUUGCGGAGCAUUUAGGAACCGUUCUCGCUAUGUUGCCCAGGCUGGUCUUGAACUCCUCAGCUGAAAUGAGCCUCCCACCUCGGCCUCCCAAAGUGCUGGGAUUACAGGCGUCCCCUCUGCCCCAGUACUGUUUCCUCUCCCCAGCCCAGCCCCCACAGCUGCCUGCCCUGGCCUCACUCCCUGGCCUCCCCCAUCCCAGCCUCUGGGUCCCUGAGUCAGUCCCUGGGGCUGUCUGCCUUCUAGGGGAGCCUCUGGUGUGGACCAGAAAGUAACCUAAUCCCUUCCAGGCCCACCCUGGAAACAAAGGGAUUUGUCCACUAGCCUGGUGGUGAGAACCAUGUGGCCUCCUGUCUCUGGCAGAGAGGACUCCAGGAUCAAGGGCAGAGAUAGGAUCUUGCUAUGGUACCCAGGCUGGUCUUCAACUCCUGGGCUCAAGCAAUCCUCCUGCAUUGGCCUCCCAAAGUGCUGGAAUUACAGGCAUGAGGCAGCACGCCCAGCCCUAAUUACUUCUAUUACGCCAAAUUCCUUGUGUGGAAUUCCUGUGCUUUGCACACAAAUUGCCAGGUUGGCCCCAAAGGGGAAAAAAGUGGAUCCCAUUUUCCCAUCUUCUAUGCCUACGUGGCUGACAAAUCUCCCGAAUCCCACAGGAGCUGUCGCUGAUCUUUGUCCUCUAUUCGCUGAAAUAAAGUUCACCAUGGA
Molecule: long non-coding RNA, 1377 nt
Filed under: Homo sapiens (human)
Lineage: Eukaryota; Metazoa; Chordata; Mammalia; Primates; Hominidae
Description: HSALNT0379467
Source: RNAcentral